Molecule: ribosomal RNA, 460 nt
Filed under: uncultured bacterium
Lineage: Bacteria
Description: partial 16S ribosomal RNA
Rfam family: Bacterial small subunit ribosomal RNA
Source: RNAcentral
CCUACGGGUGGCAGCAGUGAGGAAUAUUGGUCAAUGGACGCAAGUCUGAACCAGCCAUGCCGCGUGCAGGAAGACGGCUCUAUGAGUUGUAAACUGCUUUUGUACGCGGGUAAACGCAUAUACGCGUAUCUGUCUGAAAGUAUCUUACGAAUAAGGAUCGGCUAACUCCUUGCCAGCAGCCGCGGUAAUACGGAGGAUUCAAGCGUUAUCCGGAUUUAUGGGGUUUAAAGGGUGCGUAGGCUGUCGGAUAAGUUAGAGGUGAAAUCCCGAGGCUCAACGUCGGAAGUGCCUCUGAUACUGUUCGGCUAGAGAGUGGUUGCGGUAGGCGGAAGGUAUGGUGUAGCGGUGAAAUGCUUAGAGAUCAUACAGAACACCGAUUGCGAAGGCAGCUUACCAAGCUACGUCUGACGUUGAGGCACGAAAGCGUGGGGAGCAAACAGGAUUAGAUACCCGAGUAGGC